This is a long non-coding RNA of Camelina sativa (false flax), 482 nucleotides long. RefSeq lists it as uncharacterized. Lineage: Eukaryota; Viridiplantae; Streptophyta; Magnoliopsida; Brassicales; Brassicaceae. The record is from RefSeq and is a predicted model, not a curated record.
UAUUACCCUAAUCUCACUUGGUUUCCAAGUGUAAGAAAAAUAAAAAGAGAGAUUUAUUAGAAGGGUUAUACAAGAUGCGAACAAGUUCAUCGAAGCUGCUCGUUGUGAUUAUGAUUUUUUCAUUCUUGGCGGCGCUUUUCAUAAUCUCCCAUGCUCAACCAGGUUUCUCCUACGACACUAAUCCGGUUUACUCUCCUGUACCUGCGAAUUGUUUUAAUCCACCUUAUUGCCAUCCAUGAGAGUUUCAAUUUGGUCACAUGAAUUACAAUCAAAUAAAUAUAAUAAGGUGAUGUAUGGGUGAAGCUUCAUAUAAGGAGAAUAAAAAGCUUGUGCGAUCCAUGUUAUGAUAUAUGCAGUUUGUAAUAAUGUAUACGGAUAUUGCUGGCUCAUUAAUAAGGAUUAUGAAUCCACGUUCGAACAUAACUAUAAAACAGUUUUUGAAAAUUUAGAUGAAAAUAAAGAAAAUUCGAAUUUUCUGUUUU